This 120-nucleotide ribosomal RNA is filed under the name Tuber melanosporum Mel28. Lineage: Eukaryota; Fungi; Ascomycota; Pezizomycetes; Pezizales; Tuberaceae. The record is from RNAcentral.
GUGUUCGGCCAUAGAAAGAUGAAAAUUUCGCAUCCUGUCCACUCUCUGGUAAACAAGCAUCGUAUUGACUGGUUAGUACUACAGUGGGUGACCAUGUAGGAAUCCCAGUUGAUGAAUUCU